This 1472-nucleotide long non-coding RNA is filed under the name Heterocephalus glaber (naked mole-rat). RNAcentral's name for it is "lncRNA (ENSHGLG00100045177.1)". The record is from RNAcentral. Lineage: Eukaryota; Metazoa; Chordata; Mammalia; Rodentia; Bathyergidae.
CAGCUCCACCAGCCUCGCCUCCCUCGCUAAUUACAGACCUUCCCUGGGGAGGAAGGCCUGGCCAGGAGGCCCUCAUUACGGGCUGCAAACCCCGAUGACCAAACCCGGGGACUGGAGUGUGGCGCUCUGGAAGCCACGCCCAGGGCUCCUGCUCAGCCCCGCUGUGCCCUCGGGAACAAGGUUGAGAAGCGGCCGGCUGGACGGAGGCCUGGGCCUACACAGCCUCGCCCUCAGAGAUGGGCUUUGAUGUGGGUCUGCCUGGGGGGUAAUCAUGGGUUCCGAGGCCCUGUCUGGGCUCUGCCCACGGCCCCCAGCCCAGGCCACCAGAGCCAGCCCCUGAGGAUGACCUUGGCAGACGGGGCAGGGACAGAGGAUCAUCGGAGGACUUGGAAGAGGAGCUCUAAGGCCACACUUCCUCAUUGUUCACACACUCGUCUCCUCACGAGGAGCAAACAGCAAAGGUCUUUCUAUGUAGUCCAGGCUGGCCUUGAACUCAUGGUGAUACUCCUGUCUCAGCUUCCUGAGUGCUGGGAUUACAGACAUCACCACUAUGCCCUGCUCACUGAUGAAUUUUAAAGGAGGAAAACAACAAGGUCAGAGUGUUGGUUUUAUUUUGUAAAAAAUGCAGCUGAACCUGACUCAACUCCAGAGAAGGCGCAGCUUGCUCAGAGCCAUCAGCAUCACCAUGGCAACCAUGCCAUCCACGAGCACUUGAAAAUGUCAUUAUCAGCAGCGGCCCUGUGUGUUCCUUCUCACCGCAAGGCAAACUUGGGCCCCCACAGCUCCCUGACCCUCAGGGUGGGGGGCUGGGACUGGGCUCCCCCAGAAGCAGAGAGUCGAAAGGAGGGACUUUGGGUUUCCCUCAUCCUCAUCUUGCCUGUCUGCCUUGGACAUCCGUCUAGAAGGAGCGGAGAGCAUCUCUUUCCUGCUGGGCAGGCAGGCAGAGUGGACACUAAGCUCACACUUUCAAGGUCUGAAAGCCAUGAUUUCUCUUUGUUUCUCUCUUUUUGGAGGGGAGGUGGUUUGAGACAGAGUCUCACUAUGUAGCCCAGGCUGGCCUCAAACUCUCAGUGAUCCUCUUGCCUCAGCCUCCUGAGUGCUGGGAUUGACAAGGGUGGGGCACUGCUCCCAGCUGCCAUUUCUAUUUCUAAGGUUGUGAGGUGGGGACAGCUGCAGAGCUCCUGAGGCCUAGACUGCAAAUGUGGAUGAAGAAGAUGAGGACAAUGCUGAUGGAACCCACUGCGGGGUGUCUAUCACCAGGAGUCAGCUUUCUGAGUGUGGAUAUGAGCAGCCACUUUGGGCCACGAGGCAGGGGCCAGGCUGAGGAUGGAGAACACCAGAUAAAACCUUCCAGGGCAGGCGGGGCCUGACUGCGCUAACGAGAUUCGAAACCUCAACAUGAUCGAGAUUGGGAGGCUGAAUCCAAACUCAGCUCUGGAAAACAAAAACCAAGCCCUCGAUUUCACUCUCCC